Fundulus heteroclitus (mummichog) is the source of this 1300-nucleotide long non-coding RNA. RefSeq lists it as uncharacterized. The transcript has 5 exons. The record is from RefSeq and is a predicted model, not a curated record. Lineage: Eukaryota; Metazoa; Chordata; Actinopteri; Cyprinodontiformes; Fundulidae.
AAAAAGUUUUGAAGUUCAGAUUUUUUCGUUUGAAUCACUUUUUUUUUUGAAGCUCAAAAAGUUUUGAAGUUCAAAUUUUUUCGAUUGAAUCAUUUUGGAACAAACGUACCGUGGUGGGCGGGUGCUUCUCUAUUGGUCAGACAUGUUUGAUUGACAAGUGUCUACACCAACGCCGUCUUUCUGACAAAGAAGUCUUGUUCGGCACUCCCCAGGCCAGACAGCUUUUUACCAGCAAGAGGGAACAGCGGUGAAGUUGUCGAAACCUACAAUGAACAGUAAAGCAGUUUGACUGAGGUUGGAGUGCUAGCAAUAGCUCAUUUCCAUCGAACCGAGGAUCGUCGUUUCUUCAUAAGGCGGGUUAGUUCAGGGCGGAGUGGCAGACCAUCUAUUGUUACCAGAGAGCACAUAGACGUCCUUAUGAAGCAAGGACAUACAAUCAAAAAAAAGGCAAAAAUGAUGGGAUGUUCCUCGUCGUUUUUGAACAACAAAUCAAAGCUGGUGGACCUACACAUAAGAGGAAGACUGUCUGCCUUAGAUGACAAUCAGCUGCAAGAGCGUGUGAGCACAUGGCAGGACCAGUAUCCAAACUCUGGGAAUGAGAUGAUGAGGGUGCUGCUUCGUGCUCAAGAUGUGAUUGUCACACGGGCCAGGGUACGCUAAAUGUUGGGAAGGACAAACCUGACAUCUGCUGCAAGAAGGUGGAGUCGGACUGUUGCAAGAUGGGGCUUUGUGAUACUUGGUGCCAUCGAAGGAUACCCGUGUGGGAUUACCUCAGCUGCAGUACAAACAAUAGGGCAACAACAGUACUCUGUCAGUUUUUGAAAGCAACAUCUUACUAUGGACUACCAUCAAGAGUCAGAUCAGACCAUGGGGAUGAAAACAUGCUGCUUGCUUUAUGCAUGCAUCUAGUUCAAGGGCUGGAACACAGAGGCUUCAUAACAGGAGAAUCAGUUCAUAAUCAGCGCAUAGAACACCUUUGGCAGGAUGUAUUUUUGCUUGUGCUGCAGCAUUUCUACCAUACAUUCUACUGUCUGGAGGACGCAGAGAAUCUUAACCCAGAUAAUGAUAUCCACAGACUUUCUUUACAUAUUGUAUAUCCACCUGAGAUUCAAAGGAGGCUGGAACAGUUCAGACAUGCUUGGUACCACCAUGGUUUGCCCACAGAAAGUAAUCACACAGCAGCUCGUCUGUAAUUCUGAUGCAGAAUACAUUUGACAAUUAUUGACAUUUAAUCAUUCUUUUGCACAUUGCCAUUAUCACUUUAUUUUAGAUCUGUAAAUAUUUAUAUAUAUAUAUAUAU